This 73-nucleotide transfer RNA is filed under the name Methanobacteriota archaeon. Its description in RNAcentral is "Euryarchaeota archaeon tRNA-Val". It matches the Rfam family "tRNA". Rfam says of the family: Transfer RNA (tRNA) molecules are approximately 80 nucleotides in length. Their secondary structure includes four short double-helical elements and three loops (D, anti-codon, and T loops). Lineage: Archaea; Methanobacteriati; Methanobacteriota. The record is from RNAcentral.
GGGCUCGUGGUCUAGGGGCAAUGACGUCCGCCUCACACGCGGAAGAUCGCCGGUUCAAUUCCGGCCGAGCCCA